GAUGAAGAACGCAGCGAAAUGUGAUAAGUAAUGUGAAUUGCAGAAUUCAGUGAAUCAUCGAAUCUUUGAACGCACAUUGCGCCCCUUGGUAUUCCAUGGGGCAUGCCUGUUCGAGCGUCAUUUGUACCUUCAAGCUCUGCUUGGUGUUGGGUGUUUGUCUCGCCUCUGCGUGUAGACUCGCCUCAAAACAAUUGGCAGCCGGCGUAUUGAUUUCGGAGCGCAGUACAUCUCGCGCUUUGCACUCAUAACGACGACGUCCAAAAGUACAUUUUUACACUCUUGACCUCGGAUCAGGCAGGGAUACCCGCUGAACUUAAGCAUAUCAAUAAGCGGAGGA
This 337-nucleotide unclassified non-coding RNA is filed under the name soil metagenome. RNAcentral's name for it is "partial contains 5.8S ribosomal RNA, internal transcribed spacer 2, and large subunit ribosomal RNA". The stretch from base 1 to 120 matches the Rfam family "5.8S ribosomal RNA", at positions 35 to 154 of the family's 154-position model. The record is from RNAcentral.